UUUGAUGUGAUGGAGAACCUUCUUUUUGCAUAGUGUAGGCGCUCGUGACCCCUGGCUCAGCUUUUCACCCACAUGUUGUUGACACUGUAGUGGCGUCAUGCUGCCAGGGUAUGGGCGCGCCGCGUGCGGGCCGUCCACCCUAUCGUCCAUCACCGUCACUGGACGCUGUGCUGACCGGUCACUCCCGGGCGGGAGCAGAGACACAUUG
RNAcentral lists this long non-coding RNA (208 nucleotides) under Setaria italica (foxtail millet). Its description in RNAcentral is "long non-coding RNA (SITA_LNC000816)". The record is from RNAcentral. Lineage: Eukaryota; Viridiplantae; Streptophyta; Magnoliopsida; Poales; Poaceae.